AACGUAAAGGAUACAGCCUAAACCCAAUUUAUAUGGUCUUGGUAGACCUGACUAUACCCCAAACAUUAUUGUUGUUUGGGGUGUAGUCAGGUCUACCAAGACCAUAUAAAUUGGGUUUAGGCUGUAUCCUUUACG
Molecule: non-coding RNA, 135 nt
Organism: Paramuricea clavata
Lineage: Eukaryota; Metazoa; Cnidaria; Anthozoa; Malacalcyonacea; Plexauridae
Source: the annotation of a GenBank genome assembly